UACGGGGGGAGCAAGCGUUGUUCGGAUUUACUGGGCGUAAAGCGCACGUAGGCGGACUGUUAAGUCGGGGGUGAAAUCCUGGGGCUCAACCUCAGAAUUGCCUCCGAUACUGGCAGUCUCGAGUGCGGGAGAGGUGAGUGGAAUUCCCAGUGUAGAGGUGAAAUUCGUAGAUAUUGGGAAGAACACCAGUGGCGAAGGCGGCUCACUGGCCCGUAACUGACGCUGAGGUGCGAAAGCGUGGGGAGCAAACAGG
RNAcentral lists this ribosomal RNA (253 nucleotides) under uncultured bacterium. Its description in RNAcentral is "partial 16S ribosomal RNA". It matches the Rfam family "Bacterial small subunit ribosomal RNA", at positions 524 to 776 of the family's 1533-position model. The record is from RNAcentral.